UACGUAGGGGGCAAGCGUUGUCCGGAUUUAUUGGGCGUAAAGCGCGUGUAGGCGGCCAUGUAGGUCCGUUGUGAAAACUCGAGGCUCAACCUCGAGACGCCGAUGGAAACCAUGUGGCUAGAGUCCGGAAGAGGAGAGUGGAAUUCCUGGUGUAGCGGUGAAAUGCGCAGAUAUCAGGAAGAACAUCCGUGGCUAAGGCGGCUCUCUAGUACGGUACUGACGCUGAGACGCGAAAGCGUGGGGAGCGAACAGG
This 253-nucleotide ribosomal RNA is filed under the name uncultured bacterium. Its description in RNAcentral is "partial 16S ribosomal RNA". It matches the Rfam family "Bacterial small subunit ribosomal RNA", at positions 524 to 776 of the family's 1533-position model. The record is from RNAcentral.